Non-coding RNA from Caenorhabditis elegans, 205 nucleotides. Lineage: Eukaryota; Metazoa; Nematoda; Chromadorea; Rhabditida; Rhabditidae. The record is from Ensembl.
UAUUGGAUAACCAGAGGUCAAGUACUAGAACUCCAUUAGUACGGUAAGAGCAAGCAGAACUAUAUCAGGAGCUCAACUUACGUAAUUCAACAAGUCUCUCCCGACUGUACGCCUCAUAAGGUAUCGGGAGGGUGUGUUAGGAGACGGGAAGAAGAGAAAAAUGGUGUGGAGACAGCAGUCACCAAACCGCCUGUCUCCUCCUCUC